UGUGAUUUGGUUUGAGAUGCUGGUAGUGAUUGUUGGGGACUGGUCUAGGUUUAAAAUUGUGAUUGUGCAUUACACCCUUAGAAAAAGACUGUUGGACACAUUAGGAACAGGGCUGCUGCUUCUUGUGUUUUUGGGUUGGUUAGAAUCGCAGUGUUAGGCUCUUUGUUGGCGCCUGUUCCCCUACUUCAGUUGUCCUCUUGCCUUGUUUGUAUUUAUGUUUACUUAUUUACCCUCCUGGUUACGCAAUAAAUGAAAUCAGUAAAUUUUAUUUGGCAAUAACACCUGGUUUUAUGUUGCUUCCCCUUUCCCCAGCUGGGUCAUAACAAAGACUGCCAACAUACGGUGACUGGUAAGACAGCUGUAUAUCACAGAUUUUAUGUAAGUAUAAGGAAAAGCAUGAUUGUAUUUUAUAUCCCAUGCAUAGAUUUAUAUACUGUAAAAGUAAAUCAAAAUGUUUUGUAUGCAUCAAAUGUGUCAAUAUCAGUCAAGUUAAGCUCAAUGUCUUAGUUUUCACACUUGAGUUAAAACAAAGUCGGUUUGCAAUGUGGACAAUUAACAUGUAGCUUUACUUUUUAAAUGUCAGCUUUGGUGGUUGUGCUGUAAAGGUGCAAUAUAAGAUGUGGCCAGAAAUUUAUUAAAAAAGACACUAUCAACAGUGUGAAGCAGCCACAGUGACGAUGUCAUGAUCAAGACCUCCAUCUGUUGUAUUUCAGAGUUAUCUACUGAAAUGCGCAUGCGCACCAGCCGGCCCGACCUGUCCCCGUGUUGUAAUACCACUUUGUGACACUAGACGCUGUGUGAGUCGGUGGCGCGUCAAGUCUGCUCUCAGUCCCACGAAGAAGAACAACUUCCGGCAGCGUUUGAAGUUAGCAUCACAGAAACGCAGGAAUGGCUGAACCUCCUAAAAGACGAUAUUCAUCUGCAUCCUGAAGGAUCGCUCCCGACAAGAAACCACGUUCAACGGCAAAGAAAAGAAGCGACACGAGUAAAUCUGGAUGUGGCUUCCCGCCGCUGGAGAAGCUGCUGAGAGGAAAGAGAUGCGGUUUGAUGCCGAGCUCGCAACUUUCCUGUUAGCCUGGAGAUUUCAGCAUCCCUCUGUCUUCAUCAGGACCUGAGCCAGUACAGGUGCAAUACCGCCUCCACCUGUCUCACCAACAGCUGAGAGUCCAGACACAGUGAGGAGGGUCCAGGAGCAGAAGUCCAGUCUAAUCACCAAUGAUGGACCAGCACCUGCCUUUUCUUCUGCAUUUGGCCUCAUCAGUUAUCAGCCACAUUACUUCAACAUGUUGAGGGUUGGCAGAAUCCUCCUCAGGCUGGAACCAUACCUUUGCAGCCCCCUGAAAGCAAGAAAUGCUCCAUGCAGAGGAUCCAGCUCGUCCCCCCCAGGACUGAACCGCCCCUCAGGCUUCUGUUGCUGUUUACCAACCUCGCCGUGGUGCCAGAUGUAAAGUGAUCAGGGGAUCAGCAAAGUAAGCAGGGUUCAUCUUCUGGGGUCCACUAACAUCAAAACAACUAACACUGUCGAUUCUAGAAAAUAAGAGGCACAGAUACAGACCUGCAGUGGCCUGAGCCAGAGCUUUCCUUCAGCUGUGGCAGUUGAUCCCCUUUUACUUCUGAUGUUAUUCAAACAUUUCCAGGAAAAUGACCUUUCCUGGUGAUUUAAUACACUUUUCUGCAGUGGAGGAGGACUGUUCAGGGCAGGAUAAAGAGCCAUUCAUCUGACUAGAAAAAUCAGAUUUCACCUUUUGACUGAACAGAGAAGUACUACAUGUUCUUGGCAUAAAGUCGUUUUAAUAAAUCAGUGUUACAGAAUGAAGCACUGAAAAACACACUGUGAAGGAUUUACAGACCGAGCAGAAAUAACUACAAAUUGUCAGAGUGCUUGUGAAAACUUUUUUAUUCACCCACAAUACGCCACGUUCCCUGCUAAUUACACAGUUUAAUUCAUUCUCACCAGCAGCGGUUUGGUGGUUGAUUCUCUCUAAACGGUUAAAGGGCAAUGCAACUAAAUUUGACUUGAAAACUAAACCUCAAUCCACCGAGACAACACCAUCUCCAGUAACUUCAUUAUCGAAAAUACGAAUUUCUACUCCUCCUCCAGAGUUUGCAGCACCUGGGAUUUUGCAGUUCAUUGAAAGUGAUUUUUCCAGCCAGGAGACAGUUUACAGGGGAGAUGGGUCAAUGGGUAAUUUAGAUUUGAGAGCUAAAGAAGCUGAUCUUCUUAUGUAAUGCUCCUAAUGUUCCCCGCGCUGCUUCACAGAGAUCCUGUUCCCAAAUUUAGACCGAUCCAUCCGAAGCCUCAGAUACAAGAAAAAUAAAAUAAUGAGUGUGAUCAGGUUGCCAGGCAGUGGCUUCGACAAACAGAGUCUGACUCUGUAAUAUUGCUGCUGUUGUCUCCAAAGAUAACACUUUAAAGCUACCGUGCUUCUCUGUGCUAUUGAUUUUCUUUUUUUAAUUCAACCAAGAAACAUCAAAAACACAUCAGAUUGAUUUGAUAACCUGUUAUUGUUCAAGUGUUUUAAUCGCUCAGCCUUCAGCUCCACUUGAUUUCUCUGAGCGGCUCUGAAAACACCAGGCAAACAGUUCUUUCUUUAUCUUCACUGGUUGUUUAUCUCAAAUACAGUAAGCUCUAUAAUUAUUGUGUCCUCUCUGCCGCCGUGUGAACUUUUAUUAUUACUGUUAUUAUUAUGAUAAAUAUAACUAAUUCUGAAGAUUUGGCAAAUAUUACAGAUUCACAGUCAGAGUUGUGAUGAACUGGUGAUGUAAUAAAUGAGUUAUUAAUCUUUAUCAAAAGAAUAGAGAAUUUACGCACCAGCUUAUCUUGUACAAACUCUGUAAUCAUCAAACCAGCUGCAGCUGUCGCUCAUAAAAAUAAUGUGCCAUGAAUUUCUAAUGAUAUGAGGGUCACACAGGGUUUGAAGUUAUCAAUCACAAACUAAUUAAAUUGUUUAAUUAAAAAAAUUGUAUGAAAAAAGUGUCAUGGCAGUAACUGCAUCCAUGUUCACCAGCAACACAACAGAAGUGUUUCCAGGGGACACUGAAAAGUGAUGAACAGUUUCCUGUCUCACCUGUUUGUUUGUGGAUUCCUUGUCUCUUGUGCUCAUUGUGUGUGUGCUUGUACUAGUGUGAGAAAAUCAUAUAUAUAAUAAUGAAAAAAAAGAAAUUGUGUUGGUUACAGCUGCUUAAGCAUCGACUUUCAUAUCAAACUGUCCUGAACCUCCAGACAUGUCGCAGCCGUCGUGUCUGUUGUGCAGUCGGUGCUGCUUUACAACCACACCAGCCAAUAUUUAGAUGUUUCCCAGCAAAGUUACACUGACGUCUGAGGGCACGGGGAUUUAUUUGGGGCAUGAAAACAAUGAUGAUUUCAGCGCGGACAGACCCGUGCGCUCAGAUGUAUUACAUCAACAUUGCAGCAGUGUUUGCAUCAGCCUGCAGAGAUCACACAGCCGCCUCUACCGUCACACACGCUCCAAAAAUACAGACAUUUCACACAUUAUCCACCGGGAAUUUAUAUCAGGUAGAAUUUAAUAAUGUGUCACAUAACCAGCUGUGGCUUGUGUCUGCUGCUGCGCUGACGGCCUUCACCACAAAAUACACAUCCUGUGCCUCUAACUGAAAGCAUCUGGUCUGGUGCAAGACAAAAAACACCUCAAAAAGAAACAUGCUGAAGUCUUUG
This is a long non-coding RNA of Seriola aureovittata, 3676 nucleotides long. RefSeq lists it as uncharacterized. The record is from RefSeq and is a predicted model, not a curated record. Lineage: Eukaryota; Metazoa; Chordata; Actinopteri; Carangiformes; Carangidae. The transcript has 5 exons.